RNAcentral lists this ribosomal RNA (937 nucleotides) under Rosellinia necatrix. RNAcentral describes it as "partial large subunit ribosomal RNA". It matches the Rfam family "Eukaryotic large subunit ribosomal RNA", at positions 46 to 1013 of the family's 3401-position model. Lineage: Eukaryota; Fungi; Ascomycota; Sordariomycetes; Xylariales; Xylariaceae. The record is from RNAcentral.
CUGAGUGGGAGCGAGAGACCAACAGGGAUUGCCUCAGUAACGGCGAGUGAAGCGGCAACAGCUCAAAUUUGAAAUCUGGCCCUCGGGUCCGAGUUGUAAUUUGUAGAGGAUGCUUUUGGCGCGGUGCCUUCCGAGUUCCCUGGAACGGGACGCCUUAGAGGGUGAGAGCCCCGUACGGUUGGACACCAAGCCUCUGUAAAGCUCCUUCGACGAGUCGAGUAGUUUGGGAAUGCUGCUCUAAAUGGGAGGUAAAUUUCUUCUAAAGCUAAAUAUUGGCCAGAGACCGAUAGCGCACAAGUAGAGUGAUCGAAAGAUGAAAAGCACUUUGAAAAGAGGGUUAAAUAGCACGUGAAAUUGUUGAAAGGGAAGCGUUUGCGACCAGACCUUUUCCUGGCGGAUCAUCCGGUGUUCUCACCGGUGCACUUCGCCAGGUCGAGGCCAGCAUCGGUUUCCGCGGGGGGAUAAAAGCUCUGGGAACGUAGCUCCUCCGGGAGUGUUAUAGCCCUCUGCACAAUACCCCCGCGGGGACCGAGGACCGCGCUCUAAGCAAGGAUGCUGGCGUAAUGGUUGUCAACGACCCGUCUUGAAACACGGACCAAGGAGUCGAACAUUUGUGCGAGUGUUUGGGUGUCAAACCCUCACGCGUAAUGAAGGUGAACGUAGGUGAGAGCCCUUACGGGUGCAUCAUCGACCGAUCCUGAUGUCUUCGGAUGGAUUUGAGUAAGAGCAUAACUGUUCGGACCCGAAAGAUGGUGAACUAUGCGUGGAUAGGGUGAAGCCAGAGGAAACUCUGGUGGAGGCUCGCAGCGGUUCUGACGUGCAAAUCGAUCGUCAAAUCUGCGCAUGGGGGCGAAAGACUUAUCGAACCAUCUAGUAGCUGGUUACCGCCGAAAGUUUCCCUCAGAUAGCAGUGGUUGUUCUUCAGUUUUUAUGGAGG